This is a long non-coding RNA of Microplitis demolitor, 735 nucleotides long. RefSeq lists it as uncharacterized. The transcript has 3 exons. The record is from RefSeq and is a predicted model, not a curated record. Lineage: Eukaryota; Metazoa; Arthropoda; Insecta; Hymenoptera; Braconidae.
CGUGAUUCCACCGCGUUUUCACUCCCAGGGUGUUUCCAGGCUGAUUUAAAACCGUCAGGGAAGGAAAACUAUUCCAAAAAUAUACAUUAAAAUAAAUAUAUGAAAAACGACACGCGCGCGCUUGUACGCGAAAUACGUAUGCUAGUAUGAUAUAAGUUUGAGAAGUGGUAUAUUAUGGUAUGUGUUAGUUGCCGAAUCCACCAACAGUCAGCGCUGUGUCCUUAGAGAACUUAUCGGGCUGGCUCAGCGAGAAUCUCAUUACCCUGUACUUGAAAUUAUAAUUUUGAAGGUCAACAAAUUACAGCGUUAUCUACAAUGAUUUCGAUGAAUAUAAAUAGAGCUUUUUGGCAAUACCCGGACACUCUUCAAAUCUCCUUGGUAUUGUCAACUUCUUCGUUUUGGUUAUACCUCUUUAACGUGUCAUUUCGAAAUGAAAUUUCUCCAGUUAUUUAUCUUCUUCACUUUUUUCAUUUCUGUCACUUUGGCGGCGACUACAUAUUAUGAAGGAUGCCUGACAGCCGGUAAAUGUGAUAAAAAUUUGAAGAGGGGACCGUUUUGUUGUAGUGACUAUAAAUGCAUGAAAAUAAUUAACGAUUUGUAUACGUGUCAACCGUUAAACCCUAAAGAUGACGAUUAUUAUUGGAAGUAGUUAAAAUGUACACCAUUGUGUACUUAUUAUAGCCAACAGCUAUAAAUAUUACAUACACACGAGAUAAAUAAAGCUCAAUUGAAAUG